GGUUUGUGGCUCGGUGGUACAGCGCUUUCCUCACAUGCAUGGGGCACUGGGUUCGAUCCUCGGCACCA
RNAcentral lists this transfer RNA (68 nucleotides) under Marmota monax (woodchuck). RNAcentral describes it as "tRNA.Val". The record is from RNAcentral. Lineage: Eukaryota; Metazoa; Chordata; Mammalia; Rodentia; Sciuridae.